CCAGACUCCUACGGGAGGCAGCAGUGGGGAAUAUUGCACAAUGGGGGAAACCCUGAUGCAGCGACGCCGCGUGGGCGACGAAGCGCUCCGGCGCGUAAAGCCCUGUCAGCAGGGAAGAACAAAGACAGUACCUGACCAAGAAGCCCCGGCUAACUACGUGCCAGCAGCCGCGGUAAUACGUAGGGGGCAAGCGUUAUCCGGAUUCACUGGGCGUAAAGGGAGCGCAGGCGGCACGGCAAGUCUGGUGUGAAAGCCCGGGGCCCAACCCCGGGACUGCAUUGGAAACUGCCGGGCUGGAGUGCCGGAGGGGUAAGCGGAAUUCCUGGUGUAGCGGUGAAAUGCGCAGAUAUCAGGAAGAACACCGGUGGCGUAGGCGGCUUACUGGACGGCAACUGACGCUGAGGCUCGAAAGCGUGGGGAGCAAACAGGAUUAGAUACCCGAGUA
This 445-nucleotide ribosomal RNA is filed under the name uncultured bacterium. Its description in RNAcentral is "partial 16S ribosomal RNA". It matches the Rfam family "Bacterial small subunit ribosomal RNA", at positions 331 to 792 of the family's 1533-position model. The record is from RNAcentral.